AAUCAACGCUGGCGGCGCGCUUAACACAUGCAAGUCGAACGGGAAAGUGAGCAAUCAUGAGUACAGUGGCGUACGGGUGAGUAACACGUGGAUAAUCUACCUUUUAGUGGGGAAUAACUUUGGGAAACCGAAGCUAAUACCGCAUAAGCUCGAGAGAGGAAAGCCGUAAGGCGCUGAAAGAGGAGUCCGCGGCCGAUUAGCUAGUUGGCAGGGUAAAAGCCUACCAAGGCAGAGAUCGGAGCCGGCCUGAGAGGGCACACGGCCACACUGGCACUGAAACACGGGCCAGACUCCUACGGGAGGCAGCAGUGGGGAAUCUUGCACAAUGGGGGCAACCCUGAUGCAGCGACGCCGCGUGAGCGAUGAAGCCCUUCGGGUGUAAAGCUCUUUCGUCAGGAAGAUAGUGACGGUACCGUGAGAAGCAGCUGCGGCUAACUACGUGCC
RNAcentral lists this ribosomal RNA (444 nucleotides) under uncultured bacterium. RNAcentral's name for it is "bacterial SSU rRNA". It matches the Rfam family "Bacterial small subunit ribosomal RNA", at positions 32 to 509 of the family's 1533-position model. The record is from RNAcentral.